Long non-coding RNA from Asparagus officinalis (garden asparagus), 942 nucleotides. RefSeq lists it as uncharacterized. The record is from RefSeq and is a predicted model, not a curated record. The transcript has 4 exons. Lineage: Eukaryota; Viridiplantae; Streptophyta; Magnoliopsida; Asparagales; Asparagaceae.
AGCUUCAGAAGAGAUUCAAAAAUCUAUUGAGGAUCUUAAAGCUAGCAAAGUCAUAACAGCUAAAGAACCUUGCCCUCCAGAAACUGAUCUUAAAACUAGUAAUCUGUUUAUUCUACUAUUAGCAAAUUGGAGCAGGGAGAGUUGGAAGAGAACUUGGAGCUCGAAGACGAAGAAGGAGAUGUUAUGUUUGUCAUAACUGAUGAAUGGAAAGAUUUCUUUGAAAAGUCUGAAGCUAAAAGGAGAUCAAAGAAGCACCAGAAGAAAGGCAGCAAGUGAUGGUGCUUCACUGUCGAGAGAUAUAGAAAAGCAUAUGCAAUGUCUAUUGAAACUCAACCUUCAAAGAAUCAAUUGCCACCACUUCAGAAAGACUAUAUUGUCAGUACUCCAAACACAAAAAGACAAAGACGAAGACCAAUAAUAAGAGAUUUAGGAGAGUAGAUGAAAUAGAUGGGAAAAAACAUGAAAAAGUCAAAUGUACUAGGUGCAAGGGAUGGGAGCAUCACAAGGUUACAUGCAUGCAAGGAUCCACUCAACACAACCGCAAUAAAUAUAACAAAAGAAAAUCCACAUCCUGCAAGGGAAGAUUCAGCUAGUUCAAGGGGAAGAGGGAGAGCUAGAAGUGGAGGAAGCUGAACUUUAAUACGGGAAGGAUGCACAACUAUGCUAGAGGAAGGAUGCUUGGAUGGGGAGGGAAUGUAGCGGCUGCAAGAGAGAUGCCACUGAAACAUUUCAACACUGAAAUUUCUAAGGAGAGUUGCAGCCAAUUCAACACUCAUCAAGCUCACUCCUCUGCUACUGAUGAAUUGGCAGUUCAAGGACAAUCUACAGUCAAAACUAUGAGCCUAUUACACGAAGGGUUCAAUGACAAUUUUGAAUGUUUUUUAUAUCCAAGAUGUCAUGUUUGUGUGCCAAAGUUUGGUUUAUUUUGGGCGUGUUAAGUGC